This 305-nucleotide ribosomal RNA is filed under the name uncultured Succinivibrionaceae bacterium. Its description in RNAcentral is "bacterial SSU rRNA". It matches the Rfam family "Bacterial small subunit ribosomal RNA", at positions 30 to 339 of the family's 1533-position model. Lineage: Bacteria; Pseudomonadati; Pseudomonadota; Gammaproteobacteria; Aeromonadales; Succinivibrionaceae. The record is from RNAcentral.
AUUGAACGCUGGCGGCAGGCCUAAUACAUGCAAGUCGAACGGUAACAGGGGGAUGGGCAACCAUCUCUGCUGACGAGUGGCGGACGGGUGAGUAAGGACUGGGAAACUGCCUGAUAGAGGGGGACAACAGCUGGAAACGGCUGCUAAUACCGCAUACGCCCUGAGGGGGAAAGGAGAAAUCCGCUAUCAGAUGUGCCCAGUUGGGAUUAGCUAGUAGGUGAGGUAAAGGCUCACCUAGGCGAUGAUCUCUAGCUGGUCUGAGAGGAUGAUCAGCCACAUUGGGACUGAGACACGGCCCAGACUCC